ACGUAGGGUGCGAGCGUUAAUCGGAAUUACUGGGCGUAAAGCGUGCGCAGGCGGCGCGUUAAGACAGGCGUGAAAUCCCCGGGCUCAACCCGGGAACUGCGUCCGAAACUGGCAGGCUCGAAUCCGGGAGAGGGAUGUGGAAUUCCAGGUGUAGCGGUGAAAUGCGUAGAUAUCUGGAGGAACACCGGUGGCGAAGGCGGCAUCCUGGACCGGUAUUGACGCUGAGGCGCGAAAGCCAGGGGAGCAAACGGGA
Molecule: ribosomal RNA, 253 nt
Filed under: uncultured prokaryote
Description: partial 16S ribosomal RNA
Rfam family: Bacterial small subunit ribosomal RNA
Source: RNAcentral